RNAcentral lists this ribosomal RNA (371 nucleotides) under uncultured bacterium. RNAcentral's name for it is "bacterial SSU rRNA". It matches the Rfam family "Bacterial small subunit ribosomal RNA", at positions 29 to 429 of the family's 1533-position model. The record is from RNAcentral.
AACGAACGCUGGCGGCAUGCCUAACACAUGCAAGUCGAACGAGACCUUCGGGUCUAGUGGCGCACGGGUGCGUAACGCGUGGGAACCUGCCUUUAGGUUCGGAAUAACUCAGAGAAAUUUGAGCUAAUACCGGAUAAUGUCUUCGGACCAAAGAUUUAUCGCCUUUAGAUGGGCCCGCGUUGGAUUAGCUAGUUGGUGGGGUAAAGGCCUACCAAGGCGACGAUCAUAGCUGGUCUGAGAGGAUGAUCAGCCACACUGGGACUGAGACACGGCCCAGACUCCUACGGAGGCAGCAGUGGGGAAUAUUGGACAAUGGGCGAAAGCCUGAUCCAGCAAUGCCGCGUGAGUGAUGAAGGCCUUAGGGUUGUAAA